This 718-nucleotide ribosomal RNA is filed under the name Salmonella enterica subsp. enterica serovar Anatum. RNAcentral's name for it is "partial 23S ribosomal RNA". It matches the Rfam family "Bacterial large subunit ribosomal RNA", at positions 2214 to 2925 of the family's 2925-position model. Lineage: Bacteria; Pseudomonadati; Pseudomonadota; Gammaproteobacteria; Enterobacterales; Enterobacteriaceae. The record is from RNAcentral.
UUGAUGUUCUAACGUGGACCCGUGAUCCGGGUUGCGGACAGUGUCUGGUGGGUAGUUUGACUGGGGCGGUCUCCUCCUAAAGAGUAACGGAGGAGCACGAAGGUUGGCUAAUCCUGGUCGGACAUCAGGAGGUUAGUGCAAUGGCAUAAGCCAGCUUGACUGCGAGCGUGACGGCGCGAGCAGGUGCGAAAGCAGGUCAUAGUGAUCCGGUGGUUCUGAAUGGAAGGGCCAUCGCUCAACGGAUAAAAGGUACUCCGGGGAUAACAGGCUGAUACCGCCCAAGAGUUCAUAUCGACGGCGGUGUUUGGCACCUCGAUGUCGGCUCAUCACAUCCUGGGGCUGAAGUAGGUCCCAAGGGUAUGGCUGUUCGCCAUUUAAAGUGGUACGCGAGCUGGGUUUAGAACGUCGUGAGACAGUUCGGUCCCUAUCUGCCGUGGGCGCUGGAGAACUGAGGGGGGCUGCUCCUAGUACGAGAGGACCGGAGUGGACGCAUCACUGGUGUUCGGGUUGUCAUGCCAAUGGCACUGCCCGGUAGCUAAAUGCGGAAGAGAUAAGUGCUGAAAGCAUCUAAGCACGAAACUUGCCCCGAGAUGAGUUCUCCCUGAGACUUAGAGUCUCCUGAAGGAACGUUGAAGACGACGACGUUGAUAGGCCGGGUGUGUAAGCGCAGCGAUGCGUUGAGCUAACCGGUACUAAUGAACCGUGAGGCUUAACCUUA